RNAcentral lists this ribosomal RNA (253 nucleotides) under uncultured bacterium. Its description in RNAcentral is "partial 16S ribosomal RNA". It matches the Rfam family "Bacterial small subunit ribosomal RNA", at positions 524 to 776 of the family's 1533-position model. The record is from RNAcentral.
UACGUAGGUGGCAAGCGUUGUUCGGAAUUAUUGGGCGUAAAGGGCGCGUAGGCGGCCUUCUAAGUCGGACGUGAAAUCCCUCGGCUCAACCGAGGAACUGCGUCCGAUACUGAAAGGCUUGAAUCCGGGAGAGGGAUGUGGAAUUCCAGGUGUAGCGGUGAAAUGCGUAGAUAUCUGGAGGAACACCGGUGGCGAAGGCGGCAUCCUGGACCGGUAUUGACGCUGAGGCGCGAAAGCUAGGGGAGCAAACGGG